CCCAAUCACAACCCAAUCGGCCCAAUAAGCCCGACCGGCCCCAAACCCAGUCAGACUAGGGCAGAAACCCUAGCCCCCCUGUUGUGCCGCACCUGCUCCUGGCUGCCUCACCUGCCCUUCUGGCACCACCCACUCCACUGCGCCACCCGCUCCAAGUCAACCACCUGCAAGGAGAGAAACAAACACGCAAGGCAGAGGCAAAAACAAAAAUAGAAAUAGAUAAAUAGGUAUUGUAAUCGGUUAUAUAAAAAAAAAAGAGGAGAAUGAAAAGGGG
This 274-nucleotide long non-coding RNA is filed under the name Gossypium barbadense (sea-island cotton). RNAcentral's name for it is "long non-coding RNA (GBAR_LNC017596)". The record is from RNAcentral. Lineage: Eukaryota; Viridiplantae; Streptophyta; Magnoliopsida; Malvales; Malvaceae.